CGCACCUUGCGCCCCUUGGCUAUUCCGAGGGGCAUGCCUGUUUGAGUAUCAUGAACACCUCAACUCUCAUGGUUUGCCAUGACGAGCUUGGACUCUGGAGGUUUUGCUGGUCUCUGGUCAGCUCCUCUCAAAUGAAUCAGCUUGCCAGUAUCUGGUGGCGUCACGGGUGUGAUAACUAUCUACGCUCAGGGCCACCCGCCAGGUAACCUCCAGCGAUGGGGGUUUGCUGGGGCUCACAAACGUCUCUCUUCAGAGGGGACAGCUUUUUGAACGUUCGAUCUCAAAUCAGGUAGGAUUACCCGCUGAACUUAA
Molecule: unclassified non-coding RNA, 312 nt
Filed under: Tomentella sp.
Lineage: Eukaryota; Fungi; Basidiomycota; Agaricomycetes; Thelephorales; Thelephoraceae
Description: partial contains 5.8S ribosomal RNA, internal transcribed spacer 2, and large subunit ribosomal RNA
Source: RNAcentral